GAUGAACGCUGGCGGCGUGCUUAAUACAUGCAAGUCGAGCGAACAGAUGAUGAUUUUGCUCCUUUGACGUUAGCGGCGGACGGGUGAGUAACUCGUGUAUCACCCACCUAUAAUACUGGUAUAACUACGGGAAACCGGAGCUUACACCGGAUAAUCUCUUGCUCCGCAUGGUUCUUUAGUGAAUUCCGGUUUUGCUGUCACUUAUAGAUGGAUCUCCGCUGCAUUAGCUGGUUGGUCAUGUCAGGGCCUACCAAGGCAACGAUGCGUAGCCGACCUGCGAGAGUGAUAGGCCACACUAGAAAGGAAACGCGGUCCAGAGUCCUAAGAGAGGCAGCAGAAGGGAAUCUUCCGCAAUAGGCGAAAGCCUGACGGAACAGCGGCACGUGAGUGCUGAAGGUCUUGGGAUCGUAAAAAUCUGUUAUUAGGGAAGAACAAAUGUGUACGUAACCAUAGACGGAUUGACGGUACCUAAUCAGAAAGCCACGGCUAACUACGUG
This 497-nucleotide ribosomal RNA is filed under the name uncultured bacterium. RNAcentral describes it as "partial 16S ribosomal RNA". It matches the Rfam family "Bacterial small subunit ribosomal RNA", at positions 28 to 507 of the family's 1533-position model. The record is from RNAcentral.